AAUCACUGGUGAGUGCGGGCCUGGCGUCAGCGGUCUCUGAGCAGAGUGCGAGCGAAGCUGUGCGCGGGCGUUUGUAGCCUGCGUAAUAGCGCGGAGCACCGCCUAGGAGGAACUUGGGGGCGGUUUCCAGGGCGUCUGAAGUCGCUCCCAGACGCCGCUUCGCCACGGCCACACCUGCGUACAGUCAACAAGGUGUCCUACUCGUAGUCCAAGACACGUCCCAGAACCCAGAAAGAAAAAUGAGUUUCCGUGCCAGUGGUAGGAAUUACAACGUUCAGUUUAGAAUCUGCAGUGCCAUCUCUUACGUCGUAACCAAGACGAUGGGACCAACUUUCGGCAGUGACAGAUGACUCAUGCUUGAAGCACCAGACUCCACAGCUCAGAACCCUCGCUGCUGUCUUCCACAAGCCAGACGCAGCACAAGCACGCUGCGUGUGGUCAACACCUUUUAGGUCACCUGCCCAGCUGGUCUUUGAAUGUGGGAAUGAAGCCAUGACGUCACCCAGGCUCUAGGGCUUCUGUCUCAUGAUGAGGGGAACUGGGAUCCAGAUGCUACUCAGGCCAUCCUGUCAGCUGCCAUGGCAGAUCUUGGUGGCCUUGGGCUGGCCACCUCUACCACAGACACAUGGAGGCCACACACGUAGCUCUCCACAGAGGGGUGGUGACAUCAUAUCUAGCUAGAACCCACUGGGGACUCCAUGCUGUCCUCACCAUCAAUUCUUUUUUUUUUUUUUUUUAAGAUUUAUUUAUUUACUUGAGAGGCAGAGUUACAGACAGAGAGGUCUUCCAUCCACUGGUCCACUCUCCAAAUGGCCACAAUGGCCAGAGCUGGGCUGAUCUGAAGCCAGGAGACAGAAGCUUCUUCCAGGUCUCCCAUGUGGGUCCAGGGGCCCAAGCACUUGGGCCAUCUUCCAGUGCCUUUCCAGGCCAUUAGCAGGGAGCUGGAUCUGAACUGGAGCAGCCAAGACUUGAACCUGCACCCAUAAGGGAUGCUAGCACCACAGGUGGAUGCUUAACUCACUAUGCCACAAUGCCAGCCCCUUCAUAAUCAAUUCUAACCUCCUGACCUACAUAGUCUCCAACAGCAUGCCAUGUAGCCUAUUUCUUCUGCCACUUCUCCUCAGAUUCCCCAGAGUCCAGCACUGUCAGUCACUUGUCACUGGCACUUGCAGUCUUCUCAGCCAGGAAUGACCUCAGCCUGCACCGCUGUCCCCUUCCCCUGGCCCACUCCUUUUCUGUCUUCAGGUUUGAAUUUACGUGAUGCUUCCUCAGGGAUGCCUUCCACCGCCUGGAAGGAUGGGGUACCUGCUGUUCCCACAGACCCCCAAAGUGACCCAUCUACGUCUACCUCUGUAAACACUUGUCCUUAUGCUGGAAAGUUAAAAAAUUCCAGUUAGGGGGUGGGUGUGUGGCACAGUGGUGAAGACGCCACCUGGGAAGCCCACAUCCCAUACAUGGUGCCUGGGUUUGAGUCCUGGCUCCAUUCCAGAUUCCAGCUUCUUGCUAAUGCGGACCCUGGGAGGCAGCAGGCAAUGGCUCAAGUAGUUGAGUCCCUGCCGCCAAUGUGAGAGACCCCGAUGGAGUUCUUGCCUCCUGGCUUUGGCCUGGCUUAGCCCCAGCUGUUGUGGGCAUGUGAAGAAUGAACCAACAGAUGGAUGAUCUCUUGUGCUCUCUCUGCCUUUAAAUAAAUAAAUAAUAAAUAAAAUAAAAGGUACCCAAUAAGCCUGGAAAAUGGCCUAAAUCUUUGGUUUCUUUUUAAUUUUUUUAAAAAGAUUUUAUUUAUUUAUUUGAGAGGUAGAGUUACAGACAGUGAGAGGGAGAGACGGAGAGAAAGGUCUUCCGUCCGUUGGUUCACUCCCCAAAUGGCUGCAAUGGCUGGAGCUGUGCCGAUCUGAAGCCAGGAUCCAGGAGCUUCUUCUGGUCUCCCAUACGGGUGCAGGGGCCCAAGAACUUGAGCCAUUUUCCACUGCUUUCCCAGGCAAUAGCAGAGGGCUGGAUUGGAAGAGGAGAAGCCAGGACUAGCACCGGCACCCAAAUGGGAUGCUGGUGCCACAGGCAGCCACUGCGCCAGCCCCAAUCUUUGGUUUCUUAAGACUUUCUGGAAUAUUCCCAGAGAUAAAGUAGGAGGUCCAGGUGGCUGUCUUUUCUGUAAUGGUCACACACCCGCCCCCACCAUGACCAGGCAGCCCCUCAGGUGAGCGAAGGACACUUCCACAUCAGGAGUCUCUCUCUGUGAAGGCAGCUUGUUGUUGUUUCCGGGACUAUCUUGGCGAUUUCCUCAGACCUGAACCCUACAAAGGCAUAACCUGUGCUAUGGAAAAAUCCACCACAAAAGUAGACCAAUUAAAUGCUAAAGCAUC
Oryctolagus cuniculus (rabbit) is the source of this 2360-nucleotide non-coding RNA. NCBI's taxonomy places the organism in Eukaryota, Metazoa, Chordata, Mammalia, Lagomorpha, Leporidae. The record is from RefSeq and is a predicted model, not a curated record.